AUUGAACGCUGGCGGCAUGCUUUACACAUGCAAGUCGAACGGUAACAGGCCUUCGGGCGCUGACGAGUGGCGAACGGGUGAGUAAUGCAUCGGAACGUGCCCAGUCGUGGGGGAUAACGCAGCGAAAGCUGCGCUAAUACCGCAUACGAUCUGUGGAUGAAAGCGGGGACCGUAAGGCCUCGCGCGAUUGGAGCGGCCGAUGUCAGAUUAGGUAGUUGGUGGGGUAAAGGCUCACCAAGCCAACGAUCUGUAGCUGGUCUGAGAGGACGACCAGCCACACUGGGACUGAGACACGGCCCAGACUCCUACGGGAGGCAGCAGUGGGGAAUUUUGGACAAUGGGGCAACCCUGAUUAGCAAUGCCGCGUGCAGGAAGAAGGCCUUCGGUUGUAAACUGCUUUGUACGGAACGAAAAGGCUCUGGCUAAUACCUGGGGCACAUGACGGUACCGUAAGAAUAAGCACCGGCUAACUACGUGCCAGCAGCCGCGGUAAUACGUAGGGUGCAAGCGUUAAUCGGUAUUACUGGGCGUAAAGCGUGCGCAGGCGGUGCUGUAAGACAGGCGUGAAAUCCCCGGGCUCAACCUGGGAAUUGCGCUUGUGACUGCAGUGCUGGAGUGCGGCAGAGGGGGAUGGAAUUCCGCGUGUAGCAGUGAAAUGCGUAGAUAUGCGGAGGAACACCGAUGGCGAAGGCAAUCCCCUGGGCCUGCACUGACGCUCAUGCACGAAAAGCGUGGGGGAGCAAAACA
RNAcentral lists this ribosomal RNA (747 nucleotides) under uncultured bacterium. RNAcentral's name for it is "bacterial SSU rRNA". It matches the Rfam family "Bacterial small subunit ribosomal RNA", at positions 28 to 775 of the family's 1533-position model. The record is from RNAcentral.